CCUACGGGAGGCAGCAGUGAGGAAUAUUGGUCAAUGGGCGCGAGCCUGAACCAGCCAAGUAGCGUGAAGGAUGACUACCCUACGGGUUGUAAACUUCUUUUAUAAAGGAAUAAAGUGAGGCACGUGUGCCUUUUGUAUGUACUUUAUGAAUAAGGAUCGGCUAACUCCGUGCCAGCAGCCGCGGUUAUUCCGAGGAUCCAGGCGUUAUCCGGAUUUAAUGGGGUUAAAGGGAGAGUAGAUGGGUUGGUAAGUCAGUUGUGAAAGUUUGCGGCUCAACCGUAAAAUUGCAAUUGAUACUGGCAGUCUUGAGUACAGUUGAGGUAGGCGGAAUUCGUGGUGUAGCGGUGAAAUGCGUAGAUAUCACGAAGAACUCCGAUUGCGAAGGCAGCUUACUAAACUGCCACUGACAUUGAUGCUCGAAAGUGUGGGUAUCAAACAGGAUUAGAUACCCUUGUAGUC
Molecule: ribosomal RNA, 459 nt
Filed under: uncultured bacterium
Lineage: Bacteria
Description: partial 16S ribosomal RNA
Rfam family: Bacterial small subunit ribosomal RNA
Source: RNAcentral